AGUGAACGCUGGCGGUAGGCCUAACACAUGCAAGUCGAACGGCAGCACAGUAAGAGCUUGCUCUUACGGGUGGCGAGUGGCGGACGGGUGAGGAAUACAUCGGAAUCUACUUUUUCGUGGGGGAUAACGUAGGGAAACUUACGCUAAUACCGCAUACGACCUACGGGUGAAAGCAGGGGAUCUUCGGACCUUUCGCGUUUGUAUGAGCCGAUGUCGGAUUAGCUAGUUGGCGGGGUAAAGGCCCACCAAGGCGACGAUCCGUAGCUGGUCUGAGAGGAUGAUCAGCCACACUGGAACUGAGACACGGUCCAGACUCCUACGGGAGGCAGCAGUGGGGAAUAUUGGACAAUGGGCGCAAGCCUGAUCCAGCCAUACCGCGUGGGUGAAGAAGGCCUUCGGGUUGUAAAGCCCUUUUGUUGGGAAAGAAAAGCAGCAGGUUAAUACCCCGCUGUUCUGACGGUACCCAAAGAAUAAGCACCGGCUAACUUCGUG
Molecule: ribosomal RNA, 492 nt
Filed under: uncultured bacterium
Lineage: Bacteria
Description: partial 16S ribosomal RNA
Rfam family: Bacterial small subunit ribosomal RNA
Source: RNAcentral